RNAcentral lists this ribosomal RNA (2939 nucleotides) under archaeon. RNAcentral's name for it is "23S ribosomal RNA". It matches the Rfam family "Archaeal large subunit ribosomal RNA". The record is from RNAcentral.
UGUUAGGUGGAUGACUUGGCUUGAGUGUCGAUGAAGAGCGUGGCAAGCUGCGAUAAGCCCCGGGAAGCCGCAUGCAGGCAUUGAUCCGGGGAUCCUUGAAUAGGACUUCCAAAGCCUAGAGCUUACUCACUUAUGUGAGGGAGAACGCGGGGAAUCGAAACAUCCUAUUACCCGCAGGAAAAGAAAUCAAUUGAGAUGCCGUUAGUAGAGGCGAUCAAAAGCGGUAAAGGGCAAACCGAACGAUGACUGGCAACUGUCAUUGGAUGUGGUGUUCGGACCCCCAUUAAACACUCAUUGAUGAACCUUAAGUCCACUGGAACGUGGCGCCAAAGAGAGUGACAGCCUCGUAAGGAUAAGUCAUUGAGUGUGAGGGGUGUUCCAGAGUAACAGGCAUUGAAAAUUGUCUGUGAAUAUGGGAGACAAGUACUUCCAACCCUAAACACAACUCAAGACCGAUAGAGAAUAGUACCGUGAGGGAAAGUUGAAAAGAAUCCUGAGUACGGAAGUUAAAAGAUCCUGAAACCUGAUAGUGACGGUUGUUGCGGCCUAAAAGAGCUGAUUCAAUAAGUGACCUAGAGCAAUUUAGUGAACGAGGAGUUAGUAGUCGAGGUUGCAACGUAGAUUUGGGAUAAUCCGCCAGGGAGUUUACGUCAGUGGCGAGACCAACCGCUUUAAACGGUAAGUCAAAGCGAAAGCAACAGCCCGCAAUUUAUGAGGGGCGAGGUGUUAAUAGCGCCUAGAGUCACUGGUGUAAGACCCGAAGCCGACCGAUCUAGCCGUGGGCAAGGUGAAGUCUCUCGUAAGGGGGAUGGAGGCCUGAAGGGGUUCUGUGUGCAAGCGUUCCUCAGACCUGUGGCUAGGAGUGAUAAACUAAUCGUGGCCGGCGAUAGCUGGUUCCUCUCGAAGUAGGCUACAGUCUAGCCUGCCUGGAGAUUGUGUAAACUGUAGAGCUACCAAUUGGGUAUUUAGGGUUCGAAAGGGCUCGGUAUCCUGUUGAACUCCGAAGGUUUAUACAUCAUAGAAGGGUGGAGUCGGGGGUGCGGGGUAAGCUCGUGCUCCGAAAGGGGAACAACCCCACCCUGGGUUAAGGUCCUUAAAUCCUGAUUAAGUGAGGAAGAAUAUCUGCAUUCAGAAACAAUGGGGAGGUAGGUCUAGAAGCCGCCAUCCUAUAAUAAGUGCGUAACAGCUUACCCAUCUAGAAUGUAGGUUUCCAAAAUGGACGGGACUAAAUCAGGUACCGAUACCCAGGACCCUCACGCAAGUGAGUGAUGUGGUAGAGAGGCGUCCUAUGCGCUUAGAAGCACGGUUGUGAAGUCGUGUGGAGCGCUUUGGAUCGAGAAUCCUGGCAAGAGUAGCAUCUGAGAAGGGUGAGAAUCCCUUUCGUCGUAAGGGCAAGGGUUCCUCAGCUCUGCUUCGUCAACUGAGGGUUAGUCGUGAUCUAAGGCAUACCUUAAUCGGGAAUGCCGAAAGAGAAACGGGUUUAUAUUCCCGUACCAUGCUUGUACGAGCGGUGACGCAAGGCGCUUGGUCGUGACGCUUGUGGGUAGGCUUGACAACGCUGUCGCGUUGUUUAAAUAGGAUAUGUCUGGGGAGAGACGUAACGUUGAGAACCAGAUUAAACUAUGAAUAGACGGCUUUAGUCGUUCAAGCUGACCCCUUGAGCCCGUGAAAAGCGAGAGCGCAAGAAUCAUGCAUGCGCGUACCCAGAACCGGCACCGGUGCCCCUGGCUUAGAAGGCCAAGACGUGUUGGGAUAAUCGUGGUUAGUGAAAUCGGCAAAUUGGCCCCGUAACUUUGGAAGAAGGGGUCUCAGCGGUCGUGAGCCUGAGCUCGCGAUUGCUGGGUGCAAUAACUAGGGGGGUCCGACUGUUUAAUAAAAACAUAACUGGCUGCAACACCGAAAGGUUUAGUAUAGCCGGUGACACCUGCCCAGUGCGAGUAUCUGAAUCCCGGGUUAAACCGGUCCAAGGACUCGUAAACGGCGGGCCUAACCUUGAGGCUCUUAAGGUAGCGUGAUGCCUUGUCAUUUAAAUGAUGACGUGUCCGAGUGGUGUAACGAGACCCCCGCUGUACCAACCACGAACCCUGUGAAGAUAUCGUUGCGGUGUAGAGACCGCAGACCUCCAGUGGGUUGAUAAGACCCUAGGGACUUUACUGCAACCUGCCCUUGCUUUGCCUGUUGUGUUGUGUAGUGUAGUCAGGAGACGUAGAAACGAUGACGUCAGUUGUCGUGGAGUCGACCAGUGAAACACUGACCUUCAUAAUGGGCAUCGCUAACCUGAAAGGGGACAGGGGUUGGCGGGCAGUUUAACUGGGGCGGUAUGCCGGCGAAAAGGUAUCACCGGCGACCAAAGGUCAGCUUAACCGGGUCAGGACUCCGGUGUUAAGUUCAAGAGCAAAAGCUGGCCUGAAUGGAAUCGGCACAGCGAUGAUUCCAAAGGCGAAAGCCUGGUCUAGCGAACCGCUAUAGCCUAUAUUUGAGGCUUAGCUACGACAGAGAAGCCAUCCUAGGGAUAAUGGAGCUGUCUCGCCAGAGCGUACACAGCGACGGCGAGGCUUGCUACAUCGAUGUCGGCUCUUCCUAUCCUGGCUGUGCACAAGCAGCCAAGGGUGCGGGUGUCCACCGAUUAAAAGGGAUCGUGAGCUGGGUUUAGUGCGGGGUGACUCAGCACGGUUUAUAACUACUGGAGGUGUGCAGUGACUGAGUGGAAGGUCCUCUGAGUACGAAAGGAACAGAGGGUCGGCGCCUCUGGUCUAUCGGUUGUCCGACCGGGCAGGCCGAGCAGCUACGCGCCAUGGGAUAACCGCUGAAAGCAUCUAAGCGGGAAGCCCUCCGUGAAAAGAGUCACUGAUUAGGGUGGUCAUAGAAGAUGACGUUGAUAGGAACGGGGUGUAAGUACCAAGGCAACGAGGUAUUCAGCCCGCGUUUACUAAUAACCC